GGGAAGAUAUACCGUAAUUGGUAGCGGGCCAGACUGUAAAUCUGGUACCUUCGGGUUCUGCUGGUUCAAAUCCAGUUCUUCCCA
This 84-nucleotide transfer RNA is filed under the name Caudoviricetes sp. Its description in RNAcentral is "tRNA-Tyr". It matches the Rfam family "tRNA". Rfam says of the family: Transfer RNA (tRNA) molecules are approximately 80 nucleotides in length. Their secondary structure includes four short double-helical elements and three loops (D, anti-codon, and T loops). Further hydrogen bonds mediate the characteristic L-shaped molecular structure. tRNAs have two regions of fundamental functional importance: the anti-codon, which is responsible for specific mRNA codon recognition, and the 3' end, to which the tRNAs corresponding amino acid is attached (by aminoacyl-tRNA synthetases). tRNAs cope with the degeneracy of the genetic code in two manners: having more than one tRNA (with a specific anti-codon) for a particular amino acid; and 'wobble' base-pairing, i.e. permitting non-standard base-pairing at the 3rd anti-codon position. Lineage: Duplodnaviria; Heunggongvirae; Uroviricota; Caudoviricetes. The record is from RNAcentral.